GGUCCCGUGGUGUAGCGGUUAGCACUCAGGACUCUGAAUCCCGCGACGGGAGUUCAAAUCUCCCCGGGACCU
Molecule: transfer RNA, 72 nt
Filed under: Pristionchus pacificus
Lineage: Eukaryota; Metazoa; Nematoda; Chromadorea; Rhabditida; Neodiplogasteridae
Description: tRNA-Gln (CTG) (tRNA-Gln-CTG-4-1)
Rfam family: tRNA
About the family: Transfer RNA (tRNA) molecules are approximately 80 nucleotides in length. Their secondary structure includes four short double-helical elements and three loops (D, anti-codon, and T loops).
Source: Rfam by way of RNAcentral